Pelobates cultripes (western spadefoot toad) is the source of this 191-nucleotide non-coding RNA. The record is from the annotation of a GenBank genome assembly. NCBI's taxonomy places the organism in Eukaryota, Metazoa, Chordata, Amphibia, Anura, Pelobatidae.
GGGAAGGGGUGACUAGUGACAGAGGGAGGGGUGACUAGGGACAGAGUGAGGGAGGUGGUGACUAGUGACAGUCACCACCUCCCUCACUCUGUCACUAGUCACCACCUCCCUCACUCUGUCACUAGUCACCACCUCCCUCACUCUGUCACCAGUCAUCCCCUCACUCUGUCACUAGUCACGCCUUCCUUCCC